This is a long non-coding RNA of Medicago truncatula (barrel medic), 380 nucleotides long. RefSeq lists it as uncharacterized. The record is from RefSeq and is a predicted model, not a curated record. The transcript is spliced from 2 exons. Lineage: Eukaryota; Viridiplantae; Streptophyta; Magnoliopsida; Fabales; Fabaceae.
UCUUGUUACUUUCCUCGUAUUCCAACGUUUGUCUCUCUCUCUCGUCACUCCAAUCAACUUCACCACCGUAUCUCUCUCACUUCGCCGCCAUAUCUCUCACGUUGCAGUCGUAUCACAACCUUGCGCCUCUCAUCUCGCCGCUGCAUCUCUCACCUCGCCGCCGUAUCUCUCCCUCUCGCAGAUUCUGGCAUCUUCGUCGCCGUAUCUCUCAUGAUUCAGUCAGGUAUAAGUGUUUGAUUUUGUUAUAUGUUUCUGAUAUAUAUGCCAAGUUGAUGAUUAUGUAUGCUAAAUGUGGGUGUUUGGAGAAAGACACAUAAAGUAUUUGAUGAAAUGCUUGUGAGGGAUUUGUUUACUUGGUCUGCUUGUGAGGGAUUUGUUUA